This 1911-nucleotide ribosomal RNA is filed under the name Triticum aestivum (bread wheat). RNAcentral describes it as "partial small subunit ribosomal RNA". The record is from RNAcentral. Lineage: Eukaryota; Viridiplantae; Streptophyta; Magnoliopsida; Poales; Poaceae.
AUGGGACCCCCCACCUUGCCCUUCAACCCCUCCACCCCGCUGGGCCCCGGGUUCCCUGACUCGGCCAUCCUCUGCAAGGUGGCGCGUGUGUCGGCGGACCGGAACGCGACCACCGCCGAGUGCCGCACCGAGGACGGCCAAGCCGUGGACGCGUCCUUCUGGCUCGUCGACCCGCCGGGCAUCUCCUACUUCUCCGUCAACUGCCCCGGCAUGAAGCACCAGUACCACGCCUGGCUCAUCUGCGCCGAGGACGCCUUCGUCCUCUUCAGCCUCAAGUUCUGGGGCCCCGCCCGCUUCUUCGUCUACACGGCCGGGAAGCAGUCCCUGCGGCUGCUCCCAAACCCCAACCAUGCCUACUUCGGCGGGCAGCAGUUCGGCCUCUUGCCCCGUGGCGACGCCGACGGCGAGCACUAUGCCGUGGCCUUCCUCGACGUCAAGUGGACUAUCCGAGACGAUUUUUGUCGGUUUGAUGCCUAUGUCUUCUCGUCUGAAACACAGGCAUGGACGACCAGGAAGGCCUGCCUAUCAGACCCUGCUGACAAGCCAUCGUGUUGUCGACAUGCCUUGUUCAAGCAGAUCAGGGUUGGAGCAAGUGCGCUGGGCUGGGUUGAUACCUGCCAUGGCAUUCUCCUUCUGGACGACCUGUUUGGCAGGCAUCCUGUCAUCAGAAUAAUCCCAUUGCCCGUGACAACCGUUGGCUUGCCCGAGCCAACCAAACCGGAGGACAAUUACUGUGCCCCUGAGUAUUUUUACAAUGUUUCCUGCUGCGACGAUCUCAUCAAAUUCGUCCACAUCAAAUACGAUGACCCUGAUGCUAUGAGCAGAGGUUCAGGUUGGAAAGCCACAAUGUGGAAUAUGAAGGUCUCUGAGGGAAAUUGGUGCGAGCGCUACACGGUUGAUGUUGCCAAAAUCUCGGUUGACAAAAGCUUUUCUGCUAAAUUGCCUCAGAUGUGGGAUGAUGAGACUCAACAACAGCAGUUGAAGAACCUGAUGUUCCAAGGCCCAAUUCUGAGCAUGCUCAAUGACGAUUUGCUUUACAUGAUGGCCAAGGUGAAUGAUGAAGACGACACAGCCUGGGCUAUCACUAUUGACAUGAAACAUGCAGCUCUCAAGGCACUGGCAAAGUUUUCUGUCAAACCGAACCAACAACUCCUCACUACACUCUGCUUCUCAUGCGUCCUCCCCAAGUACCUCAACAUUCCCCCAGGGACAGAAAUGUAUGAUCCCAUGGAAAUGCACUUUAAGAGGAUGAGUUUGGCGCAGUUUGUUAUGCAAGUGCAGCAGACUCGAGAAUGGUUCAGGGAACUUGAUCUAUUCAUAGAUUGUGACUUGCCAACUUAUAAGGAAUCCAAACCACUGCUUACCGAGUGUUGCCCAGUAUCCUCUUUGUGUGUACAUAUUCAUGCGCUACUGAAAUAUGCUACAUGCACCGAUGAAGCCUCCAAUAAUAUGCAACAUCUCUUACGAGCAUUUGAGGGUUUUGACAUGCUGCUAACGGAGUCAUUUAAUGAGCAAGCAAGUGAUGAGACCCUGAGGAGAAAAAUCAUUGUGGCCCUUCCAAUUUUAGACAAUCUUUUGCAAAGUAUGCUACCAACAAUGACUCCUGAAGAAAGAUACAGAGUAGGAAUAUUUGAACAGUAUGAGAAGUCAGGCUAUACGAAGAAGGACCACCAGUCGUUUGGCUCUAAUGCUGAGAAGGUUCGCCACAGCAAGAAGCGAAGCCAUGCUAAGAAAAGGACUCACAAGCAACAGCAACAUAUUUUCAAGCGCAAUAACUUUGGGCGGGAUGUGGCUUUGAACCGCUGGCGGUACUUGGGCGGCUGCAUGCUGAUGUCUGUUGGUAUGUUGUCACUUUGCUGGAUGGUAUGGAAGAUCUUGCGGGAAAUGAUCUUGCAGGAGAUGCUAGCUUAG